GUCAGGAUGCCGAGCGGUCUAAGGCGCUGCGUUCAGGUAGCAGUCUCCACCUGGAGGCGUGGGUUCGAAUCCCACUUCUGACA
RNAcentral lists this transfer RNA (83 nucleotides) under Astyanax mexicanus (Mexican tetra). It matches the Rfam family "tRNA". From Rfam's summary of the family: Transfer RNA (tRNA) molecules are approximately 80 nucleotides in length. Their secondary structure includes four short double-helical elements and three loops (D, anti-codon, and T loops). Lineage: Eukaryota; Metazoa; Chordata; Actinopteri; Characiformes; Acestrorhamphidae. The record is from Rfam by way of RNAcentral.